RNAcentral lists this ribosomal RNA (253 nucleotides) under uncultured bacterium. Its description in RNAcentral is "partial 16S ribosomal RNA". It matches the Rfam family "Bacterial small subunit ribosomal RNA", at positions 524 to 776 of the family's 1533-position model. The record is from RNAcentral.
UACGUAGGGGGCUAGCGUUGUCCGGAAUCAUUGGGCGUAAAGCGCGUGUAGGCGGCCCGGUAAGUCCGCUGUGAAAGUCGGGGGCUCAACCCUCGGAAGCCGGUGGAUACUGUCGGGCUCGAGUACGGAAGAGGCGAGUGGAAUUCCUGGUGUAGCGGUGAAAUGCGCAGAUAUCAGGAGGAACACCGAUUGCGAAGGCAGCUCGCUGGGACGUAACUGACGCUGAGACGCGAAAGCGUGGGGAGCAAACAGG